CCUACGGGUGGCAGCAGUGAGGAAUAUUGGUCAAUGGUCGGGAGACUGAACCAGCCAAGCCGCGUGAGGGAUGAAGGUACAGAGUAUUGUAAACCUCUUUUGUCAGGGAACAAAGGCGGGGACGUGUCCCCGGAUGAGUGUACCUGAAGAAAAAGCAUCGGCUAACUCCGUGCCAGCAGCCGCGGUAAUACGGAGGAUGCGAGCGUUAUCCGGAUUUAUUGGGUUUAAAGGGUGCGCAGGGGGGCUGUUAAGUCAGGGGUCAAAGCCGGGGGCUCAACCCGGGCCGGCCGUUGAAACUGGCAGUCUAGAGUUGAGGAGAGGUAUGCGGAAUGCGCGGUGUAGCGGUGAAAUGCAUAGAUAUCGCGAAGAACUCCGAUUGCGAAGGCAGCAUGCUGGCUCCACACUGACGCUGAGGCACGAAAGCGUGGGUAUCGAACAGGAUUAGAUACCCUUGUAGUC
RNAcentral lists this ribosomal RNA (459 nucleotides) under uncultured bacterium. Its description in RNAcentral is "partial 16S ribosomal RNA". It matches the Rfam family "Bacterial small subunit ribosomal RNA", at positions 338 to 795 of the family's 1533-position model. The record is from RNAcentral.